CAGGUGAAGCAAUUGACUAACAAUAUACCAUACAUAUUAGACACUGUACUGCUAUCAAAUGUAGUGGAGGUACAGGGCGAUAAAAUAAGGAAGCGUAACGAUUGGAUGACUUGGGUUCUGCACCCAGUAGACAAUUUGGUUUCUGCUUCUGGCCUACAAUCUCCAAUAGCCAAUUUUGGUCUGGAAGCUCAUUUUGACAAUAUUUACUUAGACUUGGAUGAUCCUAAAAACACCGGCUUGAGUGGAUUAGCAAAAAAUGAGGCAGGUUUUGCAAGGUCGGCCUCCGUGAAACUAAAUAGUCAGAUAUCUGUAAGAAAUUCUGAGGAUGGCGAUGUUCAAGUGGGUACGUAUUCUGAUCGUAUCAGGAAAAUGAGAACUCUACUCAGAAGUGAUACAAUGUAAGUUUGAUUUUGGAAGUUUAUAAAUGAUAUUUUGUCUGAUUAUAGUGUCUGAAACAUUGUUUGAGUGACUUGGUAAACUCCAAAUUCUGAAUUCAUCCCCCGUCUAUAUAUUGUAAAACACAGGGUGCACGUUAGAAUUAUAAACUUACCACUUCACUUGGAUAGUGUUUAUGGUCACUGUACCUUGACAAAAUAUCAUUACUCUGUGUAAUUAAGAAGGGCCUAUCAAUUGCAUGAACUAUAUUUUGGGACAUCGUGGGGGCGGGGGCGGGGUUAAGAUAGACAAAUAAGAGAUAUAUGAAUGCUCGCUUGUACAGAC
This is a long non-coding RNA of Phalaenopsis equestris, 720 nucleotides long. RefSeq lists it as uncharacterized. The record is from RefSeq and is a predicted model, not a curated record. Lineage: Eukaryota; Viridiplantae; Streptophyta; Magnoliopsida; Asparagales; Orchidaceae. The transcript has 2 exons.